This is a long non-coding RNA of Lacerta agilis (Sand lizard), 270 nucleotides long. RefSeq lists it as uncharacterized. The transcript has 2 exons. The record is from RefSeq and is a predicted model, not a curated record. Lineage: Eukaryota; Metazoa; Chordata; Lepidosauria; Squamata; Lacertidae.
CAAGGAGUCACUAUCACUUCAUUGGCUGCAGCUGCAGCUGUUGUGGCCGGAGCUAUUUCUCUCAUCACUGUAGCUGUGGCACUGCAUAGAAGGUGCUUCAGGAGCAAGGAGGAAGUCUCCCUUUCUAGAGAUAGUCGCUGUCCCCAGGAUGGUUCCAAAGAAGGCCAGAAUCCUGACUCAAGUUAGCUCUCCCCAAGUCCUCUUCCAGGCCUAGCAUCUCAGGAACCCAAACCACUGUGGCUCUGAAUUAGUAUUAUUUUCAAGUUUAAA